Triticum aestivum (bread wheat) is the source of this 1334-nucleotide long non-coding RNA. RefSeq lists it as uncharacterized. The transcript has 2 exons. NCBI's taxonomy places the organism in Eukaryota, Viridiplantae, Streptophyta, Magnoliopsida, Poales, Poaceae. The record is from RefSeq and is a predicted model, not a curated record.
UCUUAACUGUUUCCAUUGUUACUUUGGAUAAAAUGUCACACAAUCCUUAGGAAAACCACUCGAGCCAGCACGUACCUGUAGUAAAUCUGUUCUCCUCUUACAGUUUAUCAGUGAAAAUUUUGUAUAUGAAUCAUUAAAGGAAAACAUAAAUGUUUGGAUGGAGCAUUAUAGCAAAUUAGCUAAUCAUAUAGAAAAAUUGAAGGACCAUGUAGAAGAAACUACAUGUUCUUUCUAAUAGAGAAGAAAUAGGCACCCUUGAAGAAAUGAGGAUUUGAACUUGUGCAUCUAUUUUCCCAGCCAGGUGAGCCAGGUCCAACUUCCUGUUUAGUUGGUUCUAGAUUGUAGUGUGAUUUUCUUGGUGGAUUUCCUCUGUUUGUUUGGAGAGUAUGUGAUGAUUUGAGGCACUGUUAUGCCUCAGAAGAAGACUCAGUUUUAAUAAAAAACGAGUAGCAUGGUUGACAUUAUCUGUUUCAAAUGUAUUGAAAAUUCGAUGUAUUUGAGAGUGUGUCUGCUAUUUGCAUAUUUUAAUUGGUUUCCAUUUUCUCAAUUUUCUGAAGCAUACUUUAUUUUCUUCAUGUCCUACGCUGAAGUUUAACCAUAUCUUAUGUUUAAACAGAGGAAUGGCAGAUCUUUGAUCAAACAACCACAUGCCCUGCACUAUCCUGCAUAUAUGCCUAGAGAAAAAGCAAAGUUACAGGCCAACAGUUUUGGCCAGUGAGCAAGCACAAAAGCAGGAAAAGAAGGGAUUAACCUAAAGCUAAAGCGGCAUCUCUUUUGCCCGCAUCUUUUCUAGGGCAACGAACAUUUCCAAGGAGACAGUGUAUGUGGAGUGCACCCCGUAGCACACGUAGAAGAUGGUGAUCACAAGGCUCCAGAUGCCGAACCUCUGAAAGGACCUCACCUUCAGGGUUGUCAUGAGGAACACAUUCAGGAAGACGGACGCGGCAGCCGGCCAUGGCAUCAGAGGAACCGUCCACUCCGACGGUGGCCUGGUUGCGCCCUGCUGUGCUGUGCAGUGGAAGAUUGCGACGACCGCCACUGACAUCGCGCCGAACAAUGCCAUCCCCCACCGCCACUUCCCGUCGAUCCUCCUCGAGAGGGAGAAGCCGAUUGAGCUUAGUGUCAGGAGCAGCAGGAAGAGGAGGACGUGGAGCGGCCGGGUCGCGCCGAGCUUGGCGUACCGGUGGUAGAUGAGCGCGUUGGCCACCAGGUAGAAGGCCAGGAGUGUUCCGAUCGAUAUCAUCUCGAACACUAUCUGCAGCUCAGUGAAGAGCGCGAUUGAUGCCGUGCAGAGUCCUGGAUAUUGACAGAGCCUCUAAGUCUUACAUACACAA